RNAcentral lists this ribosomal RNA (259 nucleotides) under uncultured bacterium. Its description in RNAcentral is "partial 16S ribosomal RNA". It matches the Rfam family "Bacterial small subunit ribosomal RNA", at positions 337 to 593 of the family's 1533-position model. The record is from RNAcentral.
CCCUACGGGAGGCAGCAGUGAGGAAUAUUGGUCAAUGGGAGAGAUCCUGAACCAGCCAAGCCGCGUGAGGGAAGACGGCCCUAUGGGUUGUAAACCUCUUUUGUCGGAGAACAAAACCCGGGACGUGUCCCGGACUGCGUGUAUCCGAAGAAAAAGCAUCGGCUAACUCCGUGCCAGCAGCCGCGGUAAUACGUAGGUGGCAAGCGUUAUCCGGAUUUAUUGGGCGUAAAGGGAACGCAGGCGGUCUUUUAAGUCUGAU